This 204-nucleotide ribosomal RNA is filed under the name uncultured bacterium. RNAcentral describes it as "partial 16S ribosomal RNA". It matches the Rfam family "Bacterial small subunit ribosomal RNA", at positions 1297 to 1500 of the family's 1533-position model. The record is from RNAcentral.
AUUGCAGGCUGCAACUCGCCUGCAUGAAGUUGGAAUUGCUAGUAAUCGCGAAUCAGAAUGUCGCGGUGAAUACGUUCCCGGGCCUUGUACACACCGCCCGUCACACCAUGAGAGUCGAUAACACCCGAAGCCUGUGAGCUAACCUUAGGGGGGACGCAGUCGAAGGUGGGAUUGAUAAUUAGGGUGAAGUCGUAACAAGGUAUC